CAUCUUCGGGGCAGGGUGUAAUUCCCGACCGGCGGUAAAUAAACGACAUGUUUACAGCCCGCGAGCCGUAAAACGCUGAUUCAGUGAAAAUCUGGAGCCGACAGUAUAGUCUGGAUGGGAGAAGGUG
Molecule: non-coding RNA, 127 nt
Filed under: Kurthia massiliensis
Lineage: Bacteria; Bacillati; Bacillota; Bacilli; Caryophanales; Caryophanaceae
Description: FMN riboswitch (RFN element)
Rfam family: FMN riboswitch aptamer (RFN element)
About the family: The RFN element is a highly conserved domain that is found frequently in the 5'-untranslated regions of prokaryotic mRNAs that encode for flavin mononucleotide (FMN) biosynthesis and transport proteins. This element is a metabolite-dependent riboswitch that directly binds FMN in the absence of proteins. In Bacillus subtilis, the riboswitch most likely controls gene expression by causing premature transcription termination within the 5' untranslated region of the ribDEAHT operon and precluding access to the ribosome-binding site of ypaA mRNA.
Source: RNAcentral